AAUCUUAUAGUUUAAUUAAAACAUUAAAUUGCAAAUUUAAUAAUGAAUUUUAUUCUAAGAUUU
Molecule: transfer RNA, 63 nt
Filed under: Sahlbergotettix salicicola
Lineage: Eukaryota; Metazoa; Arthropoda; Insecta; Hemiptera; Cicadellidae
Description: tRNA-Cys
Source: RNAcentral